GUACACUCCUGCGGGAGGCAGCAGUGGGGAAUUUUGGACAAUGGGGGCAACCCUGAUCCAGCAAUGCCGCGUGAGUGAAGAAGGCCUUCGGGUUGUAAAGCUCUUUUGUCAGGGAAGAAACGGUAGUAGCGAAUAACUAUUACUAAUGACGGUACCUGAAGAAUAAGCACCGGCUAACUACGUGCCAGCAGCCGCGGUAAUACGUAGGGUGCAAGCGUUAAUCGGAAUUACUGGGCGUAAAGCGUGCGCAGGCGGUUGUGUAAGUCAGAUGUGAAAUCCCCGGGCUCAACCUGGGAAUUGCAUUUGAGACUGCACGGCUAGAGUGUGUCAGAGGGGGGUAGAAUUCCACGUGUAGCAGUGAAAUGCGUAGAUAUGUGGAGGAAUACCGAUGGCGAAGGCAGCCCCCUGGGAUAACACUGACGCUCAUGCACGAAAGCGUGGGGAGCAAACAGGAUUAGAAACCCUAGUAGUCCCAUGA
Molecule: ribosomal RNA, 478 nt
Filed under: uncultured organism
Description: partial 16S ribosomal RNA
Rfam family: Bacterial small subunit ribosomal RNA
Source: RNAcentral